This 496-nucleotide ribosomal RNA is filed under the name uncultured bacterium. Its description in RNAcentral is "partial 16S ribosomal RNA". It matches the Rfam family "Bacterial small subunit ribosomal RNA", at positions 28 to 507 of the family's 1533-position model. The record is from RNAcentral.
GAUGAACGCUGGCGGCGUGCCUAAUACAUGCAAGUCGAGCGAACAGACGAGGAGCUUGCUCCUCUGACGUUAGCGGCGGACGGGUGAGUAACACGUGGAUAACCUACCUAUAAGACUGGGAUAACUUCGGGAAACCGGAGCUAAUACCGGAUAAUAUAUUGAACCGCAUGGUUCAAUAGUGAAAGACGGUUUUGCUGUCACUUAUAGAUGGAUCCGCGCCGCAUUAGCUAGUUGGUAAGGUAACGGCUUACCAAGGCAACGAUGCGUAGCCGACCGGAGGGGUGAUCGGCCACACUGGAACUGAGACACGGUCCAGACUCCUACGGGAGGCAGCAGUAGGGAAUAUUCCACAAUGGGCGAAAGCCUGACGGAGCAACGCCGCGUGAGUGAUGAAGGUCUUCGGAUCGUAAAACUCUGUUAUUAGGGAAGAACAAAUGUGUAAGUAACUAUGCACGUCUUGACGGUACCUAAUCAGAAAGCAACGGCUAACUACGUG